Molecule: long non-coding RNA, 385 nt
Filed under: Brachypodium distachyon (stiff brome)
Lineage: Eukaryota; Viridiplantae; Streptophyta; Magnoliopsida; Poales; Poaceae
Description: long non-coding RNA (BDIS_LNC003322)
Source: RNAcentral
GCGGCGAGAUUCGGCCAGGGAUGGCGGCGCGGACGCGGCGACGUGACGCGCGGGGGUUUCCUUCGGGGAGACGAAGACCCUGACAGGUGGGUCCCACCUGUGAGCGGCUCGCGGCGGCGCGCACGCGCUUGGCCGGUUCGGUCGGUCGGGCGGCUAAGUGGGCCGGCCCAGUUGGGGCGGUCCGUUUCCUUUUUUUUUCUUUUCCUUUUUCUUUUUUUUUCUAUUUUUCCUUUGUAACUUUUGAUUUUGAACUCCAAAUUGACCCAAAUAAAUUCCAGAAAAUUAGUAAAAUCAUAUUAUAAUAUGAUUCAACUUUUGGGACUAUUUUCCCGUCCAAAUAAAAUAUAUAAAAAAUACAUUUUCCCUACAAAUGCCUUUAGGGCUA